GGGAGGUAACAAAACUCAUGUGAUUACACACUUAUUAAGGCAAGUGGCAUCUUGUCAGGAGACCUAAUAUCAGUUCAAAUGAUCCUUGUUGUGGAGCUUUAUUCUGCCACAGUUUCCAGCAAGCCUGGCUGUCAAUAUAAAGCACUACUUGCUUAGUCUUCAUUAGCAUCUUAUUCCUUUGCCUAAUUAUCCCUUUCCAUCCCAAGCUCCGAGGGCUGAUGCUGACAACUCUCUCUGCUGUUAACGUAACAUCAGUGCAGACUGCUCUUCAGAUGUCAGAAGUGUUGAAAGAAAUCACUCACAGGAGUGAGGAGCUGUCUGCCUCUGCACAGGUAGAAGCUAGCAACACACUAAAAGAUGUAAGUGCUUCCUUGCUCACUGUAAACACAGAGGACAGUAGAGAUGAUCAGAAGCUAAAGGAUGCAGCCACCUACCUAUUUAACGCAGUGAGCAAUGUCCUACAAGCUUCCAUACACACCAGAGCUGUGAACACUUCAGUGCCAGAGGCAGAACAGAGUUCAGUGUCACACCAGCUCCUGAACACAGUUGAAAAUCUACAGAGCGCCCUUCUGUUUGGGAAGGAACCAGACGAUGAACCCAUGGUCCUUACCACUCAUACUGCCACCAUGUAUAUAAACAGGUAACUGUAACAACACCUCCUAAAUCCUGAUAGUUACCCAAUUUUUCCCCGAAUAUCCAUUACAUUAUCCUUCAAUGAAACCACCUAACAAAAUAUUAUAGCAUAACGACAGCUUCAACAGUGUGAUGAGGCUGCCAUUGCUGACUGAUAGGAAGAACAGCUUGGACCCCAAUUAACUUCAGUAAACCAGCUUAGAAAUUCUCAUGCUGUGCCUUCUUUGACCAAGGGACAAACUACUGCUACCUCCUGGGUCAGGCAGUAGCUGCUUACCUUUGAAAGUCUGUGGAAAUCUCAGUUAAGUUCUUUUCUUCUUUUCCAUGUUGCCAAUAAUGACAUGUUAUACAGAACUGUAACCAGCCUGGCAGGAACAAAUACAAUCACGAGGAGCCUGAUAAGCAUUCUCCAUUGCCU
Molecule: long non-coding RNA, 1051 nt
Filed under: Anas platyrhynchos (mallard)
Lineage: Eukaryota; Metazoa; Chordata; Aves; Anseriformes; Anatidae
Description: lncRNA (ENSAPLG00020010106.1)
Source: RNAcentral